This 308-nucleotide long non-coding RNA is filed under the name Bos taurus (domestic cattle). Its description in RNAcentral is "long non-coding RNA NONBTAT019474". The record is from RNAcentral. Lineage: Eukaryota; Metazoa; Chordata; Mammalia; Artiodactyla; Bovidae.
UUUCCUAAUCAAGAAGAAAAAAGUUAAAUCAAUUAUGUUAUUUAGUCUACAUACUUGAAAAUGUAAUUAAGUAGUUACCCCUGUGCAAAGUAGACAAGCAAAUAAAUUACUAACAAAUCACACUUGAAACUAAAUUUUAGGUCUAAAGAAUACUGUGACUGUCUAUUUUCCUGGUAAACAUGAGCCAGUCAUAUCUACAUGCUUAAAGCUUGUCACCUUUGGGUUCUGGGACAUACUCCAUUGUAUGUGUAGCUGUUAGGUUUGGGUUUGACUGUGUUUAACAAGAAAGAUAGUGGUUAGAUUUAGGC